Molecule: long non-coding RNA, 3722 nt
Filed under: Sus scrofa (pig)
Lineage: Eukaryota; Metazoa; Chordata; Mammalia; Artiodactyla; Suidae
Description: lncRNA (ENSSSCG00000062492.1)
Source: RNAcentral
GAAAUGGGAAAUCUGAAUUCUUAAAUAUUAGCAACUAGUUGAAAAUUUUACAAUAUAGCUGCCCGUGAGGUGUGUGCCUCACUGGUUUGCUUCUUCUAGUCUGAGCGAACGCCUCCUUUUCCUUUGUAAUUUUGCUCAAGGGUCACCUCUUUGUGCUUUCAUAGUUUGUACUGGCAACAACCAGAGUACUUAUCAUGUGGACUAUAAUACUGAUUGGACUCCUCAGAGAACCCAACUAGAUAAUGAGCUCCUAGGAGACGAGGAUUAGAAAGCAGCAAGCUUGGUCCACGUUCUUUUGGCUUCUUGUUAGCAUUCUGCCAUCAGCUAUGUUAUAUCAAACUCACAGUGUCAUCCGAUAUAGAUAUACGAUGUGGUCAAGGAAACAUUACAGAAUCCCUUUAUAUGUUCCAUGAAAGCAUCACUUGAGUUUUAGUUCCAGAAAAGCUUGAUGUUUUGAAAGCAACUGGGGUGUGUGUGUGUGUGUGUGUACGCUCUUUGCUGUGGCCUACAGGGAGCUCUGCCUCAUUUACAAUCCACCUCUCUCAAUGGAAUGUUCACCUGACAUAUGUUUUCUUUUAUCCUAAUUUAUUCUUUGUUUUAUACACUUAUAUUUCAGGGUUUUUUUUUUUAAGGCAACUCAAAGCCUUUUAAAAAAGUCUCUUGAAGUGUAGUUGAUUUACAAUGUUGUGAUAAUUUCUGAUGUAUAAAACUGAUUCAGUUACAUAUACACACACACAUCCAUUUUCUUUCCAAUUCUUUUCCCACAUAGGUUACCACAGAAUAUUGGGUAGGGUUCUCUGUGCUGUUGUACAGCAGGUCCCUAUUAACCAACCAUUUCCAUAUACUACAGUGUGCCUAUGCCAAUCCCAAAUUCCCAGUCCAUCACUCCCCCACUCCCAUUUAUCUCCUUUGGUAACUAUAAAUUUCUCAAAGUCUGUGAGUCUGUUUCUGUUCUGCGAGUAAGUUCUUUUGUAUCUUUUUUUUUUUUAGAUUUCACAUAUAUGCGACAUCAUAUGAUGUUUGUCUUUCACUGACUAAUUUCACGUAGUACGAUACUCUCUAGUUCCAUUCAUGUUGCUGCAAAUGGCAUUAUUUCAUUAUUUUUAUGGCUGAGAAAUAGUCCAUUGUGUAUAUGUACCACAUCUUCUUUAUCCAUUCAUUUGCCAAUGGACAUUUAGGUUGCUUCCAUGUCUUGGCUAUUGUGAAUAGUGCUUCUAUGAAAGUUAGGGUGCAUAUAUUUUUGGAGUUAUAGUUUCCUCCUGAUAGAUGCCCAGGAGUGGGAUUGCUGGAUCAUAUAGUAGUUCUAUUUUUAGUUUUUUGAGGAAACUCCAAAAACUUUUUUCUUAACAAAAUGGGGGAAGGUGAGUAUGCAGUGCCUUUUACCUUUUUUAUGAGUUCACAGGGACCUGCCAAUAACGUUCUAUGUAUAAAUAUUUGAUGAAUAUACACUGAAUGAUGAAUAGACAAUGAGAUAUUUGAUCAUGUCAAUCACUUUUCUUUAGAUAAUCUGUUUAAAGUGCCAAAUAAAUUAAGGUGGCAAACCACAGUUUUCAUUACUGAGAAUGAAGAUGGGUAUUUGAGAUCUUAGCUUCUUUGCCAUAUUCAUAAUUUCACUGCUAGAACUCCAUACCAGAGCAGCUAAUGAGAAUAAGUUUAAGAAGACUGAAAUUGAAUCACAUUAUAACUGACACUUCGAGGAUUAAUUUUACAACUUGUGAUUUUAAUUUUGGUGAAAAUGUAUUUAAAAUUAUCUCUUGUCACCAUCUCUUAUUAAACAUAAUGAAACUUGAUGAUAUUCCAAUAACAUUAAACUGUUUUGGUAGUCACUGAGGUUAGUCUGAAAAGACUAUUCAAGCUAAGAAAAUAGUGGGUCGGUUUUGAAAGAAAGUAUUUGGGGAGACUUGAGUUGCCUGCUCUUUCAUUCAGCUCACACACUACACUUUUGCUCACACUAGUGGGUAAUUUAGAAGUUAUUCUGUAAGUUAGGAGAACUGGUGUGCCAUUAAUGGGGGGAAAUCAAGGACAUUAGCAAAGAAGGAAACAAGAAGAGAGGAGAGAUCAUGUCACUGUAAUUUGGUUUCUAUGUUCUGGGCUGAUUUUUAUCAUUAGCAGGCCAAGAGAUACUGGAUCCCCAAAACCUGGAAAAUAAAAUUACUAUGCAAUGAGGUCACUGCAUUUCUCUUUUUAUUCUUUUUUUGGUCACUUUGUCUUUUCUAGGGCCGCUCCCGUGGCACAUGGAGGUUCCCAGCCUAGGGGUCUAAUUGGAGCUAUAGCUGCCGGCCUACAUCACAGCCACCUACACCACAGCUGUGUCUGCCACCUACACCACAGCUCAUGGCAAUGCUGGAUCCUUAACCCACUGAGCAAGGCCAGGGAUCAAACCUGCAACCUCAUGGUUCCUAGUCAGAUUCAUUAACCACUGAGCUAUGGCGGGAGCUCCGCUUUUCUCUUUUUAGAUCAUCCUUCUUCCCUCCUUCACUUCCUUCUUUCCUUUUCUUCCUUUUUUUCUUUCUAACUCAGGUCUCACAUCCAUGGUGUGAUCUUCAUCUUGAAUCAACUUUUUCCUUUGGCCAGAACCAGGAAAAAAUUUAUUUUGGGAUAGAAUGAGAGUACACAGUAAAGGUGGAAUGAUGGCUAGUUUCUCAUUUUUCCUAAUGGUGGAGUUACAGUUGGCCUGAAAGCUUGCUACAUUCCCAACAUUUGCUAAUUUAGGGACUUGAUAGGCUCACUUCAUAGAUCUUCCUUUAUUAUUUUUUUUUUUUCAAAAAACUGGCAGAUUUUUCGUAGCAUUCUUUUGACUCUAUCAUCAUUCCAUUCUCUGUCCUUAACCUCAUUCCCAAGUGUGAAUUAUGGUAAUACAACAAACAUGUCUUGAAUAUCUACUAUAUAUCCGGUGCCUGCUGGGCAUGGGAAAUUCUGACCAGCAUAAGAAUCAAUAUUUGCCAUUUGGAGCUCAUUGUUUAGUGGGAAAAACAGACAAGUCAACCACUAAUUCUAGGAUAAUCAGAGACGUGUUAUAAAAGCCUAUGACCUAAAUGCCAGAAGAAAGAAGGAUUGGAAGGCUUUUCAGAGGUGACAUCAAAAAGGGCCUGGAAGGAUCUGCAAGGUUCUAGCUGGAGAAAAAGAGACUUCUGAUAGAAGAAAAGCCUGUACAAGACCACAGAGACACCCCCCACAGGCAAAGCUAGAUAUCAUGGAAGUAGAGGGAACCAGUGUGGGUGAGUAGAGGAGUCCUGGAAAGUGGAGCCAGGGCUCAGGCUAUAGGAAACCUUUGCUAUGCUAGGGAUCUUCGAUUGUAUCCUUUGAGUUACGGAGAGCCAUGGACAUUGUAAAUAAGAUAAGAGGCAUCACCUGUGGUUAAAGAGGAUCAUAAUGGAGCAAGAAAAGGUUUAAGGGAAGACUAGUUCAGAAACUAUUCACACAAUCUAGGUGGGAGAUGCUAUGGGUCUAAGUAGAUAAUGGAAGGUAUAUACAUACAUAUAUAUAUAUAUAUAUAUAUAUAUAUAUAUUAUUUUUUUUUUUUUUAGGACAGCACCUACGGCUGUGGCAUGAGGAGGUUCCCAGCCGAAGGGGUCAAACUGGAGCUGUAGCUUCCAGCCUAUACCACAGCCACAGCUACGCGGGUUCUGAGCUGCAUCUGCGACCUACAUCACAGUUCACCUCAACGCCGCAUCCUUAACCCACUGAGCGAGGCCGGGGAUCAAACCUGCGUCCUCGUGGAU